Molecule: ribosomal RNA, 468 nt
Filed under: uncultured bacterium
Lineage: Bacteria
Description: partial 16S ribosomal RNA
Rfam family: Bacterial small subunit ribosomal RNA
Source: RNAcentral
GACGAACGCUGGCGGCGUGCUUAACACAUGCAAGUCGAACGGAAAGGCCCUGCUUUUGUGGGGUGCUCGAGUGGCGAACGGGUGAGUAGCACGUGAGUAACCUGCCCUUGACUUUGGGAUAACUUCAGGAAACUGGGGCUAAUACCGGAUAGGAGCUCCUGCUGCAUGGUGGGGGUUGGAAAGUUUCGGCGGUUGUGGGUGGACUCGCGGCUUAUCAGCUUGUUGGUGGGGUAGUGGCUUACCAAGGCUUUGACGGGUAGCCGGCCUGAGAGGGUGACCGGCCACAUUGGGACUGAGAUACGGCCCAGACUCCUACGGGAGGCAGCAGUGGGGAAUAUUGCACAAUGGGCGGAAGCCUGAUGCAGCAACGCCGCGUGCGGGAUGACGGCCUUCGGGUUGUAAACCGCUUUCGCCUGUGACGAAGCGUGAGUGACGGUAAUGGGUAAAGAAGCAACGGCUAACUACGUG